GCAAGUCGAGGGGUAACGAUGCAGACUGCUUGCAGUCUAUAGGCGACGACCGGCGGAAGGGUGCGUAACGCGUGAGCAACAUACCUGUUUCAGUGGGAUAACCCGGAGAAAUCCGGACUAAUACCGCAUGACGAUAAUGAUAGACAUCUGUUAUUAUUGAAAAAUUUAUUGGAAACAGAUUGGCUCGCGUAACAUUAGCUAGAUGGUAAGGUAACGGCUUACCAUGGCGACGAUGUUUAGGGGUUCUGAGAGGAAGACC
Molecule: ribosomal RNA, 259 nt
Filed under: uncultured bacterium
Lineage: Bacteria
Description: partial 16S ribosomal RNA
Rfam family: Bacterial small subunit ribosomal RNA
Source: RNAcentral